Molecule: long non-coding RNA, 234 nt
Filed under: Fukomys damarensis (Damara mole-rat)
Lineage: Eukaryota; Metazoa; Chordata; Mammalia; Rodentia; Bathyergidae
Description: lncRNA (ENSFDAG00000033500.1)
Source: RNAcentral
CGCGGCUAGCGGCGGCGAGUGCUGGAAGGAGACGAGCGCGCAGGCCCCGAGAGCCAAAGACAAGGCAAUAAACUUAUCACGGGCUGCUGGUCAAACUGGAUGGGGAGAAGUGAAGCAAGGGAUUAAGAAAAUCAGUCUACGGUCAAGUUUUCUGCUUGUAUAGCUCAAGUGAGAAUAGUAAGCAUCCUUUCUAUCUUCUUCUAAGAGCAUUGUUAAAAGUGAUAACCGCGUCCA